UGCGAGUCAUAUGUUCUUCGUGAACAUGGCGUACUGCUCAGUAACACGUGGACAACCUGCCCUUGGGACCGGGAUAACCCCGGGAAACUGGGGAUAAUACCGGAUAACGCAUAUCUGCUGGAAUGCUUUAUGCGUAAAAUGGAUUUGUCUGCCCAAGGAUGGGUCUGCGGCCUAUCAGGUAGUAGUGGGUGUAAUGUACCUACUAGCCUACGACGGGUACGGGUUGUGAGAGCAAGAGCCCGGAGAUGGAUUCUGAGACAUGAAUCCAGGCCCUACGGGGCGCAGCAGGCGCGAAAACUUUACAGUGCGGGAAACCGUGAUAAGGGGACACCGAGUGCCAGCAUCAUAUGUUGGCUGUCCAGAUGUGUAAAAUACAUCUGUUAGCAAGGGCCGGGCAAGACCGGUGCCAGCCGCCGCGGUAACACCGGCGGCCCGAGUGGUGAUCGUGAUUAUUGGGUCUAAAGGGUCCGUAGCCGGUUUGGUCAGUCCUCCGGGAAAUCUGACGGCUCAACCGUUAGGCUUUCGGUGGAUACUGCCAGACUUGGAACCGGGAGAGGUAAGAGGUACUACAGGGGUAGGAGUGAAAUCUUGUAAUCCCUGUGAGACCACCUGUGGCGAA
This 619-nucleotide ribosomal RNA is filed under the name uncultured archaeon. RNAcentral's name for it is "bacterial SSU rRNA". It matches the Rfam family "Archaeal small subunit ribosomal RNA", at positions 52 to 670 of the family's 1478-position model. The record is from RNAcentral.